AUUUCUCGGCCUUUUGGCUAAGAUCAAGUGUAGUAUGAAGCUGAAAGAGAUCUGUUUUUAUUUUCAAAGUACUACUUUGGUGCAGCCAGACUUCAGGGACAGCAUCCUGGACAACAAGCUUUACAAUACUUCACUCUUGCCUAUAGUGAAAGAUUGAAACCUCA
This 164-nucleotide small nuclear RNA is filed under the name Capra hircus (goat). Its description in RNAcentral is "U2 spliceosomal RNA (ENSCHIG00010021809.1, ENSCHIG00020010731.1, ENSCHIG00040005898.1)". It matches the Rfam family "U2 spliceosomal RNA". From Rfam's summary of the family: U2 is a small nuclear RNA (snRNA) component of the spliceosome (involved in pre-mRNA splicing). Lineage: Eukaryota; Metazoa; Chordata; Mammalia; Artiodactyla; Bovidae. The record is from RNAcentral.